This 627-nucleotide ribosomal RNA is filed under the name uncultured Dermocybe. RNAcentral's name for it is "eukaryotic LSU rRNA". The stretch from base 247 to 400 matches the Rfam family "5.8S ribosomal RNA". The record is from RNAcentral. Lineage: Eukaryota; Fungi; Basidiomycota; Agaricomycetes; Agaricales; Cortinariaceae.
GAUCAUUAUUGAAAUAAACCUGAUGGGUUGCUGCUGGCUCUCUAGGGAGCAUGUGCACACUUGUCAUCUUUAUAUCUCCUCCUGUGCACCUUUUGUAGACCUGAAUAUAUUUCUGAAUGUGUGAACAUUCAGGUUUGAGGAUUUGGCAUUGUGUCAUUCCUUGUAUUUUCAGGCCUAUGUUUCUUCAUAUACCCAAUGUAUGUUAUAGAAUGUAAUAAAUGGGCCUCUGUGCCUAUAAACCUAUACAACUUUCAGCAACGGAUCUCUUGGCUCUCGCAUCGAUGAAGAACGCAGCGAAAUGCGAUAAGUAAUGUGAAUUGCAGAAUUCAGUGAAUCAUCGAAUCUUUGAACGCACCUUGCGCUCCUUGGUAUUCCGAGGAGCAUGCCUGUUUGAGUGUCAUUAAUAUAUCAACCUCUUCAGCUUUUGCUUGUUUGAGCGUUGGAUGUGGGGGUAUYUUUUGCUGGACUCUUUUUGAGGUCAGCUCCCCUUAAAUGCAUUAGCGGAACAAUUUGUUGACCGUUCAUUGGUGUGAUAAUUAUCUACGCUAUUGACGUGAAGCAGAGCUCAGCUUCUAACAGUCCAUUGACUUGGACAAUUUUCAUUAAUGUGACCUCAAAUCAGGUAGG